AUGAACAUACUGCUUGAUCCACCUCUUUAUGUCCUCAGAUGAAAUGAAGAGAACACUAUUAGAAUAACUACAGGUGCAAAAAAAGGAAAUGCAAGGAGGAAACCUCACCAUUUGGAGCCUUUUUCUCCUGGAGGGUUUUUCUAGAUACCCAACAUUAGAUAUUGUUCUCUUCGUCUUCAGCCUUGUGACGUACCUGAUAACGCUCUUGGGCAGCAUCUCUCUGAUCUUGGUCAUUAUCCUAGAUUCAUGCCUCCAAGCCUCCAUGUACUUGUUCCUUGGAAAUCUCUCUCUCGUGGAUAUUUGUUAUACAUCUGCUUCUGUUCCCACUUUGCUGGUGAACUUACUGUCAUCCCAGAAAACCAUUACCUUUUCUGGGUGUGCUGUACAGAUGUAUCUGUCCCUUUCCAUGGGCUCCACAGAGUGCAUGCUCCUGGCCAUGAUGGUGUACGACCGUUACGUGGCCAUCUGCAACCCCCUGAGGUACCCCAUCCUCCUGAACAGGCAGGUCUGCGUGCACAUGGCCACUGCCUCUUGGGUGACGAGUUGUCUGAGUGCCCUGCUGGAAACCAGUUUCGCCCUGCGGGUACCCCUCUGUGGGAAUCUCAUCGAUCACUUCACGUGCGAAAUCCUGGCCGUGCUGCAGUUAGCGCGCACAGAUUCACUGCUCAUGGACGUGAUCAUGCUGGUGGUCAGCGUGCUUCUCCUGCCCAUCCCCGUGCUCUUAAUUUGCAUCUCUUAUGUCUUCAUCCUUUCCACCGUUCUGAGAAUCAGCUCGGCAGAGGGAAGAAACCAAGCUUUUUCUACCUCUGGUGCCCACUUGACUGUGGUGAUCUUGUAUUACGGGGCUGCCCUCUCUAUGUACCUAAAGCCUUCUUCAUCGACCUCACAAGAAGUAGAUAAGAUCAUCUCACUGCUCUGUGGAGUGCUGACCCCUAUGUUGAACCCCAUCAUUUACAGGUUAAGAAACAAAGAAGUCAAAGAUGCCAUGAGAAAAGUACUGGGCCAGAUACCAUUGUAUCAAGCACAUGAACGUCUCUGA
This is an RNA transcript of Odobenus rosmarus divergens (Pacific walrus), 1039 nucleotides long. It is a transcript of the gene named olfactory receptor 2K2-like, with no coding region annotated. The transcript has a single exon. The record is from RefSeq and is a predicted model, not a curated record. NCBI's taxonomy places the organism in Eukaryota, Metazoa, Chordata, Mammalia, Carnivora, Odobenidae.